RNAcentral lists this ribosomal RNA (468 nucleotides) under uncultured bacterium. RNAcentral's name for it is "partial 16S ribosomal RNA". It matches the Rfam family "Bacterial small subunit ribosomal RNA", at positions 28 to 507 of the family's 1533-position model. The record is from RNAcentral.
GAUGAACGCUGGCGGCGUGCUUAACACAUGCAAGUCGAACGGAAAGGCCAGUGCUUGCACUGGUACUCGAGUGGCGAACGGGUGAGUAACACGUGGGUGAUCUGCCCUGCACUUCGGGAUAAGCCUGGGAAACUGGGUCUAAUACCGGAUAGGACAAUGGUUUGGAUGCCGUUGUGGAAAGUUUUUUCGGUGUGGGAUGAGCUCGCGGCCUAUCAGCUUGUUGGUGGGGUAAUGGCCUACCAAGGCGUCGACGGGUAGCCGGCCUGAGAGGGUGUACGGCCACAUGUGGACUGGGAUACGGCCCAGACUCCGACGGGAGGCAGCAAUGGGGAAUAUUGCACAAUGGGCGCAAGCCUGAUGCAGCGACGCCGCGUGGGGGAUGACGGCCUUCGGGUUGUAAACUCCUUUCGCUAGGGACGAAGCGUAUUUGUGACGGUACCUGGAGAAGAAGCACCGGCUAACUACGUG